CCGUGAGGAUUAUUAUUGUAGGAGAACAACAAAGCCAUGACAAUUUAUUGUCUCCUCUGCAAGGUUAACAAGUUGCAGCACUGAUCAGCUGAAGUACUAUUGUGUGCAUGCUAGGAAGAAAGGAGGGAAGAACAAUGUUAAUUCUAUCAAAGCUGUGCUCCCUCCUAACCAAAAGGGACAGCAGAGCAUCCAAAGGGCUGCAUCUUGGACCUGCCAAGGAGGAAAGGAUUGCAUCAGAGAUAACGCACUGAGCAAGCAGAUCUGUCCAGAGCUGGACUGCGCAGAAGCUGUUGGCAAUGGACACAAGAGGCACAUUGAUGGGAAAUGUCUUGAGAAAAGGGAACUGUACCCAAGAUGAAAGGAGCUGCAGUGCACAUCCUGCAGGAUUUCAGGAGGGAAGAACCAGUGUAAGACAACUAGCAGUUUAUGGAAAGGCUAGAAGGCUGUGGACAGAUUGGCAGCCAGCUGCAUUCUAGCAGGGCAAAGCAAGGCAAACAGUGAGUGAGCUGUUGGGUAGUAGCCCUGCUUUCGUGCAAGACAGAGGAUGGUGCGUGGGAGA
Molecule: long non-coding RNA, 559 nt
Organism: Tympanuchus pallidicinctus (lesser prairie-chicken)
Lineage: Eukaryota; Metazoa; Chordata; Aves; Galliformes; Phasianidae
Exons: 3
Source: RefSeq, a predicted model, not a curated record